CCGCGGCUAUCCGUAUACAUGCAAGUCGAGCGCGGGAAGCAGGCAGAUCCUCUUCGGAGGUGACGCCUGUGGAACGAGCGGCGGACGGGUGAGUAACACGUGGGCAACCUGCCUGUAAGACUGGGAUAACCCCGGGAAACCGGGGCUAAUACCGGAUAAUACUUUUCGUUGCAUAACGAGAAGUUGAAAGGCGGCUUUUAGCUGUCACUUACAGAUGGGCCCGCGGCGCAUUAGCUAGUUGGUAAGGUAACGGCUUACCAAGGCGACGAUGCGUAGCCGACCUGAGAGGGUGAUCGGCCACACUGGGACUGAGACACGGCCCAGACUCCUACGGGAGGCAGCAGUAGGGAAUCUUCCGCAAUGGACGAAAGUCUGACGGAGCAACGCCGCGUGAGUGAUGAAGGUUUUCGGAUCGUAAAACUCUGUUGUCAGGGAAGAACAAGUGCCGUUCAAAUAGGGCGGCACCUUGACGGUACCUGACCAGAAAGCCCCGGCUAACUACGUGCCAGCAGCCGCGGUAAUACGUAGGGGGCAAGCGUUGUCCGGAAUUAUUGGGCGUAAAGCGCGCGCAGGCGGUCCUUUAAGUCUGAUGUGAAAGCC
RNAcentral lists this ribosomal RNA (600 nucleotides) under Virgibacillus olivae. RNAcentral's name for it is "bacterial SSU rRNA". It matches the Rfam family "Bacterial small subunit ribosomal RNA", at positions 37 to 602 of the family's 1533-position model. The record is from RNAcentral. Lineage: Bacteria; Bacillati; Bacillota; Bacilli; Caryophanales; Bacillaceae.